UUAUGGCCAUUGAUUUGUUCUAAUCCAAAGAUUAAAUUUUAUUUUUUAUCUAUCUUCAGCCUUUCUUUCAUUGGUUAAUUUUUAUUUUGUCAAGGAUCACAUUCUUAGCCAUUGAUUUUUUUUUUUUUGAUCCUAAGGUCUAAAAUCAUCCUGUCUCUUUUCUCAUGGAUCUGAGAUCUCAUUCUUCUCAUCCCUCACUUCUCAAACAAUUCACGUAACACAAACAUCUCAUCUCUCUGUAUAACUUCCCUCAUCUCUCCUCACACACACACACGAAGGUGGAGCCAAGCCCAGCGACCCCGGAUCUGAAGAUACUGGACCACCGCCAUCUCUCCCAUUCGCCACCGUCCUCUCUCACCACCAAUGAUGUGGUGGUCAUUUAGUUUGCGGCUAGGAGGCAACAGAGAAUCCGGUGGUCGUUAGCAGAGUGGUGGUCACGGGCUUGCGGCGAUGAGGAAACAGAGAAGCUGGUGUUCGCGAGCAGAUUGGUGGUCAUGGGGCGGUGAGGAGACGACAGAAAAGCUGUUGGUCGUGAGAUGAGGCGGUGCUCAUGGGGCUUGCGGCGGCAACGAACGGAGAAGUUCGUGAGGAGGCGGCGGCAAAGAACAUUAUUAGGUUUAGAUUAGGUUUAGAUCUAAUUUGUAAACCAUCUGGUUUAGUGUAAACCAUUUCUCCUAGGAAGCCUGGUUUUCUUACUAGGUUUAGUUUUGGUUUAGUUUUGGUUAGGUUUUGGUUUAGUUUUGGUAUAUACUUUUAAUUUUUAAAUCAUAUUCUUUUUUAUACAUUAAUAAAAAAAAAACGAAUUUAAAUUUUAA
Molecule: long non-coding RNA, 815 nt
Organism: Raphanus sativus (radish)
Lineage: Eukaryota; Viridiplantae; Streptophyta; Magnoliopsida; Brassicales; Brassicaceae
Exons: 2
Source: RefSeq, a predicted model, not a curated record